Etheostoma spectabile (orangethroat darter) is the source of this 258-nucleotide long non-coding RNA. RefSeq lists it as uncharacterized. Lineage: Eukaryota; Metazoa; Chordata; Actinopteri; Perciformes; Percidae. The record is from RefSeq and is a predicted model, not a curated record. The transcript has 3 exons.
UGUGUUCAUUUGGUUGUACGGUAAGGAUUGCCCAGCGGUCUAAAAGCCAAUGCACCCUCCAUCUAUCUCUGUUGCAUCAGGAAUCAUGAGAAAACCGAGAGACACACUAUGGAGAAGCAUGGUUGUGCUACUGGGCAUUGGUUUCAUCUGGUGUCUAUGUUUGACAUAUUACUUCCUGAGCAAUGCGGAACAGGAGGGCAUCAGCUUGACCGGUCACAACAGACUGAGGCAGCCGAUAAAAACAGCCAGGUCUGAAGA